This 383-nucleotide ribosomal RNA is filed under the name uncultured bacterium. RNAcentral describes it as "bacterial SSU rRNA". It matches the Rfam family "Bacterial small subunit ribosomal RNA", at positions 28 to 402 of the family's 1533-position model. The record is from RNAcentral.
GACGAACGCUGGCGGCGUGCUUAACACAUGCAAGUCGAGCGGUAAGGCCCUUCGGGGUACACGAGCGGCGAACGGGUGAGUAACACGUGGGUGACCUGCCCUCCACUUCGGGAUAAGCCCGGGAAACUGGGUCUAAUACCGGUUAGGACCUCCUCAUGCAUGUGGGGUGGUGGAAAGCUUGUGUCUUUGAUGCUUGCGGUGGGGGAUGGGCCCGCGGUCUAUCAGCUUGUUGGUGGGGUGANGGCCUACCAAGGCGACGACGGAUAGCCGGCCUGAGAGGGUGAUCGGCCACACUGGGACUGAGACACGGCCCAGACUCCUACGGGAGGCAGCAGUGGGGAAUCUUGCGCAAUGGGCGGAAGCCUGACGCAGCAACGCCGCGU